AAGAGUCAGUGUGUGAGAGAGGUGGUC
This 27-nucleotide non-coding RNA is filed under the name Homo sapiens (human). Lineage: Eukaryota; Metazoa; Chordata; Mammalia; Primates; Hominidae. The record is from RNAcentral.